UGGCGCUUGAGUUAGUCGAGAGAGUAGAGGAGGGAAGGAGGGGAACCAUGGGAGCCAGAGGGACCUCCACGCACACUACACCACACGUAUAUCUCAAGCGCCAUCCACGGCAUGCUCCCUGUCAUCACAUUGUGCCUUUUUAAAAGGUCGCCGAAUUGCGCAUACCAGUUGGAACAGCACAGUGUCGAAUGAAUUGAAGCAAAAAUGUAUCAGAAACUUCAGGAUGAGCCCUGGGGACCAAUUGGGCCUGCCAAGGGUGUGGAUGAUAAUGGACUCAACCAUCUGCACGCCAAAUCCCUGAUUUCUGCGACGGACAAGUCCAGACGGGAGCUUCCAGUAAAAGCAGCGGGAAAACGUUGCAAAUUGUUUCAUCAGGCGAAGUGCUGACGUCGGCUGAUUUGUUUCUGCUCCGGGUACGGAUACCAAACCCUUGAAUACCGCCCAACCCCCUACCCCCACCCCUCGACCCACCAACUCUACUGGCAACAUUUGACAUGUUGUUGUCGAACGUUUCAAGAUGUUUGGUAGGAAAUUUCCAUCAGAUCCGCAGCCACUUUUUGCCAAACAUGGCCAAGAUUUUUCCAAGAAGAAUCAAUGGAGCGGACGCUGCUGGUCUGCUUGCAAUAAGCACACGCAUGCAUGCACGCACGCACGCAUGCACGCACGCAUGCACACACGCCUGCGCGCACGUAUGCACACACAUUCACAAAGCACACACACUCACAAAACACAUACAUAUUCACACACAUUUUAUAGUCCAGAUCAAAUAAACUGAGGUCUCGACAACAUUCCUGACGACUGGGAAACGGCCGUCGUUGUGGUUCUACGCUUCAGGGAGGAAUGAAGAAACACAAGGGAUCCGGAUUCAAAAUGACAUGAAUGGAUAUUCUAUUAAAAUGAAUAAUAAUAAUAAUAAAAUCGGAAAAAAUACAAGUAUAUUACCCUAAAAAUAUUGAAUAAUACCAUGUGACCUUAUAAAAGAAGGGUUUAUUAAAUGUUAUUGUAUUUUUUAUUUGUCAUGGUAUUUGUCUACUUGUUGAUUUUAUUAGUAAAGGUAGAGAAGUCUUUGAUUUAAAUCAAAAUUUGGUGGUGUAAGUUCAAGAAAUAAUGUGAAAAAAUAAACAAGAUAUAAAUUAAAUAUCAAAUAAAAUGUAUUUAAAUUAGGUGGUUAUUAAGUUUUAAUGAAAAUCACAAAUAUAUUGAUACAAAAUGAGAAGAAAGUAAAAAUCAACUUACAGUAUUUUGAAAUGCAUACAAAUUAGAAAAAAGAAAAGGUGUAUUUUUAUUUUCAAUACAGAAUUUAAACAACUCUCAUAUUAGAGGUAAAUAUAAAACCAAAGUACAAAAAAUAAUUUAUUACAAAUACCUAAAUAUUCUGGAUAUUACACUUCAUUCAUAUAAUAAUAAUAAAUUAAAAAAAAAAAAAAAAAAAAUAAUAAUAAUAAAUUAUUCAUGCAUAAACUGUAUAGCCCCUCAAAGUGCAUGUGAUUAAAACAACUUUACUCGAGCCUUUCUGAGUGACAUACACGAUCUCUGAAGGCUAAUUAAAAGAAAGAAAAAAAAUCACUGACUGGCUCUGAAUGUGUCCUGUCAUGUUAUUGUCCAGAUUCCAUAAAUACAACGUCUGAACACACACAAGUAAUGCGUACAAAAAUAAUUAUUGAACAUGCCAAAAGAAAACCGAGAAAGUCAUGUCUAAUUCAGCCGUGAGUGUCAUCUGGUGUAAUUUCAAGGCAGGACAUGUUAAACUAACAAACCUUUUGACAACAAGAUUACAAUCAAUCACAACAGUUAAAUCUCAUUUAAAAACACACAAAAGGAAUCUUGAAUGCCUAAACACGCACACAGCACAUAUUAUAUCAACUCAGUAUGCCCUGCCCCGUGAGAAAUGUGAGUGGCAACGCUUUGCAGAAAUCUGAUUGGAUGCAGAUGCGAUACACUGUCAUUGCCUCCACAUCACAGGUGUCAAACUCAAGGCCCGGGGACCAGAUACGGCCCACCACAUCAUUUUAUGUGGCCCGCGAAGACAAAUUGUGCAUCAAAUUCGUGUGUCAUUACUGGAAUUGCAAAUUGUCUUCAUUGUCUUGUAUUCUUUCCAUUUCAUGCACAAAUUCAAAUGGUAUCAUUGGUUUGAUAAUAAACUACAGCUUUUGCAGUUCUGGAAGUUGUCUAUAAUGGCUUAAACUGACAUUGUCACAAAUCAUAUCUUGUCUGGUUCAUUUCCAUUUCUUUGUUUUGGAGCCACUUUGGAACGGGCAAUGCUCAUGAACUCACUGUGAGGAACUCAGUUCGAAUAAACCAUUUUCCCAA
This is a long non-coding RNA of Syngnathus typhle (broad-nosed pipefish), 2310 nucleotides long. RefSeq lists it as uncharacterized. NCBI's taxonomy places the organism in Eukaryota, Metazoa, Chordata, Actinopteri, Syngnathiformes, Syngnathidae. The record is from RefSeq and is a predicted model, not a curated record. The transcript has 3 exons.